AAAGCUUUGUCUUCAGGGACGAUAAUGACGGUACCUGAGGAGGAAGCCACGGCUAACUACGUGCCAGCAGCCGCGGUAAUACGUAGGUGGCAAGCGUUGUCCGGAUUUACUGGGCGUAAAGGGAGCGUAGGUGGAUAUUUAAGUGGGAUGUGAAAUACUCGGGCUUAACUUGAGUGCUGCAUUCCAAACUGGAUAUCUAGAGUGCAGGAGAGGAAAGUAGAAUUCCUAGUGUAGCGGUGAAAUGCGUAGAGAUUAGGAAGAAUACCAGUGGCGAAGGCGACUUUCUGGACUGUAACUGACACUGAGGCUCGAAAGCGUGGGGAGCAAACAGGAUUAGAUACCUGGUAAGGUCA
Molecule: ribosomal RNA, 353 nt
Filed under: uncultured Clostridium sp.
Lineage: Bacteria; Bacillati; Bacillota; Clostridia; Eubacteriales; Clostridiaceae
Description: bacterial SSU rRNA
Rfam family: Bacterial small subunit ribosomal RNA
Source: RNAcentral